RNAcentral lists this long non-coding RNA (546 nucleotides) under Helianthus annuus (common sunflower). The record is from RNAcentral. Lineage: Eukaryota; Viridiplantae; Streptophyta; Magnoliopsida; Asterales; Asteraceae.
AUGUGUGUGUUCUGGUCAAAGAUUACACAGGAGGCAAAAAGGGUUCUUUCACUUGAACCCUAAUUGAUACAAAAUCACUCAAAUUCAAGAAGGAGAUCGAGAUUUAACUAAAACCAAGCUGAAAUUAGUGAUCACUCAAGUUAGAGGAUCAUAAGGCAAGGUGGUCGAAUCUUCAAUCGGACAAGUCGGAGCGGACGCGCGCUUAAAGAAUAAGCUUUGAAAGUGAAGGAUUUCACUCGAUAACCAAAUGGGUGAACGUUAUGAGUAUCCAAAUGACGAUCAAGCGAAGAACAAGAACCGAACACACAAAUAAAUGAAGCUUUCGCAUUGAUCUCAUUUUGUUUUAUAAAAAGUGGAUUAUGUAAACACUGUUAACCAUGUUUUUGGAUGUUGUAAACAUGUUUAAAAAGACUUACUACUUAAAAGUUUUUGUUAAGUGGCAUUUUCAUAUAAAAUGCUUACUUUAAUGAUAUAUAUUAGCGUUAAAUUAGUAUGGGUAUGACAAUUUUACUAGCAGGAUGUCCGCACGAUGCAGCGGGAGCGACA